CCCUACUAUGCCCAGCCGUAACACAAUAAUUAAAUCACCCAUUAUUCGCCAAAUAACUACGAGUACAGACUUAAAAUUUAAAAGACUUGACGGUACCUCAUAACAACCUAGAGGAGCCUGUCAAAUAAACCGAUACUCCACGAUUAAUUCAACCCCGCCUGGCCAAUCAGUCUAUAUACCGCCGUCGCCAGCCCACCCUGUGAAAGACAUAAAGUGGGCCAAAUAGUCACCACACUAACACGACAGGUCAAGGUGUAACUUAUGGCGGGGAUUAAGAUGGGCUACAUUUCUAAUUUAGAAAAUACGAAUAAACUAUGAAAUAAGAAACUGAAGGCGGAUUUAGCAGUAUACUAAGAAUAAAAUACCUAGUCGAAACCUAUGCAAUGAGGUGUGUACACACCGCCCGUCAUCCCUGUCACUAAACACUAACAUACAUAAUACAUGCAUUAACCAACAACAGGGCAAGUCGUA
Molecule: ribosomal RNA, 471 nt
Filed under: Pseudoficimia frontalis
Lineage: Eukaryota; Metazoa; Chordata; Lepidosauria; Squamata; Colubridae
Description: partial 12S ribosomal RNA
Source: RNAcentral